GAUGAACGCUGGCGGCGUGCCUAAUACAUGCAAGUCGAGCGAACGGACGAGAAGCUUGCUUCUCUGAUGUUAGCGGCGGACGGGUGAGUAACACGUGGAUAACCUACCUAUAAGACUGGGAUAACUUCGGGAAACCGGAGCUAAUACCGGAUAAUAUUUUGAACCGCAUGGUUCAAAAGUGAAAGACGGUCUUGCUGACACUUAUAGAUGGAUCCGCGCUGCAUUAGCUAGUUGGUAAGGUAACGGCUUACCAAGGCAACGAUGCAUAGCCGACCUGAGAGGGUGAUCAGCCACACUGGAACUGAGACACGGUCCAGACUCCUACGGGAGGCAGCAGUAGGGAAUCUUCCGCAAUGGGCGAAAGCCUGACGGAGCAACGCCGCGUGAGUGAUGAAGGUCUUCGGAUCGUAAAACUCUGUUAUUAGGGAAGAACAUAUGUGUAAGUAACUGUGCACAUCUUGACGUUACCUAAUCAGAAAGCCACGGCUAACUACGUG
This 497-nucleotide ribosomal RNA is filed under the name uncultured bacterium. Its description in RNAcentral is "partial 16S ribosomal RNA". It matches the Rfam family "Bacterial small subunit ribosomal RNA", at positions 28 to 507 of the family's 1533-position model. The record is from RNAcentral.